UGAAUCUAAUACCGGAUCGGAAUCGCAAC
This 29-nucleotide small RNA is filed under the name Bombyx mori (domestic silkworm). RNAcentral's name for it is "ovarian small RNA-31131". The record is from RNAcentral. Lineage: Eukaryota; Metazoa; Arthropoda; Insecta; Lepidoptera; Bombycidae.